Oreochromis aureus is the source of this 5097-nucleotide long non-coding RNA. Lineage: Eukaryota; Metazoa; Chordata; Actinopteri; Cichliformes; Cichlidae. The record is from Ensembl.
GUACAAACAUCACUGGAUAACAGUCCUGUCUACAGUCAGUGGUGCAAAGGUGCUCAUUUUUAAAUAAAGCUUGUUAAAAAUGUCGAUGGGUUUUAUUGUGAAAGGAAGGAACAGGAAGAAGUUCUUUCGCACAUGCGUAGAACGUUUCUGGCUCUGCUCGGUAGUCGAAGCUGAAAACGGUUGUGUACUUUAUAGCAGAUAAAUAUUUGAGCUGCUGAAGUAACGAUGUGUUCAGUGGAGUAUUUGAGAGAGUUUGUUAAUGAGCGACUAACGGCUGCUGCUGAAGAAAUAUUCGGAGCCUUUGUAAAAACGAUCGUCCAGAAUGAGGCCGAUGCCAGGCAGCGCAUACUCCGGGAUAUCACCGUUAAGUUCCCCAAAAUAAAGUUACACAGAAUAGAUCUCCCACAACAUGUCUGCAAUACGGAGGUUCUCACAGACCAGCAGCUCUGCAAUGAGGAGAGCAUCUCCAGUUUGGACCAGGAGGAAACGGUUCCUCUGCCGAUUAAAGAGGAACACGAGGAACACUGCUUCACUGAAAAUGAAGAGCAGCUUGUACUGAAGCAGGAAACUGAAACCUUCAUGGUGCCUUGCACUAAUGAGGAAAGUGAUGAUAAUGGACCCAAAACAAGCACUGACCAGUUCAUGUGUCACAGCUCUCCUGGAUCUAAGAAUCAUUACCAGGAAGCAGACAACCAUGUGGACUCCAGCACAAAGCUGAAGCCAAAGAAGAGACAACACGGAAACAAAGACCAAUAUGCAUGCAAGGAGGACAUUCUCGAUGACAAAUGGCUCUUUAACCUGGAGAAUAAAUCUGGUCUGAACCAGCAGGACCUAGGACUUCUACAAAUAAAAGAGGAAGAGGAGGAACUCUUCACAAAUCAGGAGGGAGAGCAGCUUGUACUGGAGGGAGAGCAGCUUGUACUGGAGCAGCAAACCAAUCCCUUCAUGAUCUCUUCAGUUUUUGAGGAACAGAGUUCCUGUAAAGAAGAGCCAAACAGCCAGCUCCUUUCUCACGACUCUCUAUGCCAGGGAAGAACAGAUGAGAAACCAUAUUCUUGUAACACCUGUGGGAAGAGAUUUAAAUACGUUUCAACAUUGAAAGUACACACGAGCAUUCACACAGAAAUGGUAGGGGAGAGAUGUGUCUAGCACCUCAGUUGAUCCAUCACCUCUUCGCUGAAGCAUCAUCAGAAACAGGAAGUGUGUCAAAAUGCCAAUGGAAGGAAAGUGGGAAGAAAAUCCUCACAUAUGCCAAAUUGCACAAGAACUGGACUGAAAAUCAGUGGCAACAGGUCUUAUGGAGCGAUAGGUCCAAAUGUGAAAAAUUCAGCUCGCUAGUGUGUAUGAAGAAGGUCAAAAAGAGACAACAGCAAGUGUUUUACAGCCAUCUCUAAACACAUUGGGGACUCUGUUUUAGUUUGGGGCUGCAUUUCAGCCACUGAUGUUGGCAGUCUUGUCAAAAUUGAUGAAAUUAUGAACCUAUUAAAGAACUGUCUGUGCAUCUGGAAAGCUUCUGAUUGGCAGUGGCUUAAUUUAUCAGCAUGACUGGGCCUCAUUUACUAAUGUUUGCAUUGAAUUGUUCUGUGCAAAAAAUAAUAGUUCCCAAACAAAAUUAUUGUUGGAUUUAUAAAACAUAUGACCGGCCUAUUUAGCUCUUACUGCUUAUGCUAAUAAAUCUGAAGUGUUCGGAAUCAACAACCUUGUAGAAUCUCCAUACAGUUUGCAUACUAUCUGCAGACUGACCCACCCCAAUUUGCCACACAUGCCACAAAUUUCCCUCCAGAUGAAGUGGAGAAAGUGGUGAUGAUGAUAAUAAUAAUGGAUUGCAUUUAUAUAGCGCUUUUCAAGGCACCCGAAGCGCUUUACAAUUCCACUAUUCAUUCACACACUGGUGGAGGCAAGCUACAGUUGUAGCCACAGCUGCCACCCUGGGGCAGGCUGACAGAAGCGAGGCUGGCAUUUCGCACCAUUGGCCCCUCUGGCCAACACCAGUAGGCGGUAGGGUAAGGUGUCUUGCCCAAGGACACAACGACCAGGACAGAGAUGGUAUAGAGAGAAGCCUGCACCUCUAGGCAGGACAUAAGAGAAAAUGUGACUGUACAAAAUUAAAUAAUAAUAUCUGAGGUCCAAGGUGGAAGCUUUCCAAAGUGUUUCCACAGGAGUGAUGACUUUUUAAAAAUAAAUAAAAAGCGAUACUGAGUCUGAAAUAGCAGGAGUUCAUUUCCCCUGAAACACUUAAUGUCGCUCAAGUAAGAAAGAAAGUUUGAAAAAAGGUGCUAUGACUAACAGACGAAAGACUAACAGACGGAGAACAAAGACCACAUGGCAUAAUCUGUCAGCCUCAUAUGAGAAGCUCACUGCAAUGAAAACAGAAAAUCCAGAUUCUUCAGCAUCAAGGGUGUAGUACCAAAAAUGUAUAUUGUAAGUGAUCACAUCCAGCAAUGAUAGAAGUCAUUUUCAGUGGAAAAAUAAGAACAUUUAAGAUACAAUAAAACGGGUUAAUAAAAUAUUUUUAAAUUGAUAGAUGAGGCUCUACCCCAUGACCCUGCCCCACAUAAGUGUAAGAAAAUGAGUGGAUGAAGGUUGAAGCCUACACCUCUUUGCAUCCAUAGAUUUUUUUUUGUUUGUUUGUUAUUUUGCGCUUAUCCAGGGUCUCGAGGUCGCGGGGGGCAGCAGCCUAGAGAAGCCCAGACCUCCCUCUCUCCAGCCACCUCCUAAUCUCUUCAGGUUUCCUGGGUCUGCCCCUUUGCCUCACCAAGGAGGCCCCCAGGAGGCAUUCUUGUCAGAUGCCCUAACCACCUGAACUGGCGCCUUUCAAUAUGAAGGUGUAGCGGCUUUACGCUGAGCCCCUCCCGGAUGGCCGAACUCUUCACCCUAUCUCUAAGGGAGAACCCAGCCACCCUUUGGAGAAAGCUUAUUCCGCCAUCAAAGCUCGUGACCAUAGGUGAGGUUAGGGACACAGACCAUUACGGACCGCUAUAGCAUCCACAUCACUGCAGCCGCUGCACCAAUCUGUCUGUCCAUCUCACGUUCCCCUCUCCCCAAGACUCCAAUACUUAUACUCUCCUUGGGGCAGAGUAGGCACUCCACCCUUUCCAGCUGAGGACCAUGGCCUCAGAUUUGGAGGUGCUGAUUCUCAUUUCCACUGCUACACAUUCAACUGCAAACCGCUCUGGUGCAGCCUGGAGGCCAUCACCUGAUAAAGCCAACAGUAACACAUUAUCUGCAAAAGCAGAAUGAGAUUCUGAGACCGCACAAGUGGAACCUUCUGCCACUUGGCUAUUCCUAGAAAUUCUGUCCAUAAAAAUUAUGACUAGAAUCACUGAAAAAAGUCCAACACUCUUGUGGUGCCACAAUCCGUCCUUAUGUUCGAACAUGGUGUUUCUUAUGGACAAAUUGUUAUUUGCACAGACAUCAACACAACACUUAUUGUAGGGUCUACCUUGCAAUAUAAAACACCUUGAGGUGACUGUUGUGAUUUGGCGCUGUAUAAAUAAAAUUGAAUUGAAUUGAAUUGAAUUGAACACUGCACGGGUUCAGAUCUGGCAGACCAUUCCUCAAUCAAACUUUCUUUGCCCACAUGAGCAUUGAAGUCUCCCAGUAGGACGACCACACCCAGGUACUCCAAGAAGGCUGGGUACUCUAAACUGUCAGUUUAUACAUGCACUGAAUAGACCAUUUUCAUUUUGUAUUUUUGUUUUCUUUACGUGUGGUAUUUAUUUUGUGGUGUAUGAUCAUUUGGAAAACUGUAAAUAAGGCUAUAAUAAUUAUAAUUGUUUUUUUUAUUAUUAUUAUUAGUUGUAGCAAAUUCAAAUUCCUACAGCAGCCAGGCUGUGAUUUGUUCAUUAUGCAUGGUUAGAGGGGUUACAACAUUUGUUUGCAAAAUACAAAGAAAUUCAGUCAUGAAAAUAUUGAUAAAUCACAGAUCUUUCUGUCAAAAAUUUGUACAUUUGCACUGUUUGUAAAUGAGGCUCCGUGAUUCCAAACCAGUGAAUAAAACAAUAAAACCAUACCUGGUUAACACACACUGCGCACAAUCCCAGAACCCAGGGAUUGUGUUGACAGUGAAUAAAACAAAAGGCAGCCAACAUCAAAAGAAAAGCUUUUGAAUGCCGUUCAAGCAGCCUGGAGAACUUUUCCUAAAGACUUUGUUUUUGCCUUACUUGUAAACAAAAUAUAAAGACGUUUGUGUGUGUGUUAACAGGUCUAAACUUUAACUCGAAAUUUUGUCCUAGAUUCAACAAUUUAAACCUUCGGCUUGUUUUUGCUACUAUAAUCUAUUACCACGUAUGGUAAUAUAAAAUAUUUCAGCAAUGUAAGUUAUGGAGUUAAUGUCCCCCAAUUUAUUUUUUUCAGUAAUGAUGGAAAUUUGGCAGUAUAAUAAAAUUGAAAACAGAACGAGAAUGCCAGCUUUUCAGCUGAUGCAUCUGCAUGACUGCAUGACAUUUAGGAUUUUUUUUCUUUAUGAGAGCAAAACAAACUUUUUGAAUGUUAUUUUUAUUGAAAAAUGGCAUGUACAAAAUUCCACAAGUGUAUUUUUUGUCAAUACAUGUCAGAGGUGUAACUGUCUAAAUCUAAUAAUUUUCUUUCUACCUCAGUAGUGUUUGAAUUAUGAUGCAAAGAAACCAUAGAGUUCUACCCGAUAACUAGACUUUAAUUUUUUAGAACAUGUUUCAUUUUGUAUCUGUUCAAUUAUAUAAACUGUGUUUCAGUGUGAGGCUAGCAUACUGAAGAUGUGUAUACAUUAUCUGCAGUAUUGUCAAGCGUGCUAUAUAAGUGAAGUACAAAUGAUUUUUUUACAAGGCUUUCUAAAAUGAGUCUUUCCAAUACUAAUUCAAAAGGAUGUUUAGGAAAUGUAUAUGAAAAUCGCUAUUGUAACCAUGAGCAUCAUCAUAACUAAAUGAUGAUAUAGUAAGUGUUCAGUACUUGUUUUUGUGAUCAAAAAUAUGUAUUCUAACAAUAAAUAUUCAUAAAGAAAUGAUGUAAGAAUAACAUACUAUAUUAUACUAUAUCAUACUAUAUAUAAGAACAUACUACAUUUUGAAGCUGCAAGCAAUUAGUCUUCACUGGGUCCCAGACAGGGACAUUAAAAUUCUU